This 306-nucleotide unclassified non-coding RNA is filed under the name Hevea brasiliensis (rubber tree). Lineage: Eukaryota; Viridiplantae; Streptophyta; Magnoliopsida; Malpighiales; Euphorbiaceae. The record is from RNAcentral.
UUUUUUUUUUUCUCUUGAUCUAACCUUUCUCGCACUCUCUCUCCCACUCACUUUCCCGGUAAAGAAAGCUUUUGAGUGAAAUAAUGACGGGUUUUAUUGGGAUUUUAUAGGGCAGAAAGUGGGUUUCGCGAGUGGAAAAAUAAUGGAGGAGAGAAAGUGGUUUUGGGUUGGUGGCUUUUCUUGCUUUAGUUUAAACUUUAUUUUUGGCAAAGGAAAGAAGAUGACAACGGAGGAACGGAGUUACAAGUGAUAGGAGCAUCCACUUGUCAGAGAUGUGGAACCGGUGAUCUCUUCAUUGACCUUUUG